CCUACGGGUGGCAGCAGUGAGGAAUAUUGGUCAAUGGGCGCGAGCCUGAACCAGCCAAGUAGCGUGAAGGAUGACUGCCCUACGGGUUGUAAACUUCUUUUAUAAAGGAAUAAAGUGAGGCACGUAUGCCUUUUUGUCUGUACUUUAUGAAUAAGGAUCGGCUAACUCCGUGCCAGCAGCUGCGGUAAUACGGAGGAUCCGAGCGUUAUCCGGAUUUAUUGGGUGUAAAGGGAGCGUAGAUGGGUUGUUAAGUCAGUUGUGAAAGUUUGCGGCGCAACCGUAAAAUUGCAAUUGAUACUGGUAGUCUUGAGUACAGUUGAGGUAGGCGGAAUUCUUGGUGUAGCGGUGAAAUGCUUAGAGAUCACGAAGAAUGCUGAUUGCGAAGGCAGCCUACUAAACUGCCACUGACAUUGAUGCGCGAAAGUGUGGGUAUCAAACAGGAUUAGAUACCCGUGUAGUC
RNAcentral lists this ribosomal RNA (460 nucleotides) under uncultured bacterium. Its description in RNAcentral is "partial 16S ribosomal RNA". It matches the Rfam family "Bacterial small subunit ribosomal RNA", at positions 338 to 795 of the family's 1533-position model. The record is from RNAcentral.